Molecule: ribosomal RNA, 254 nt
Filed under: uncultured bacterium
Lineage: Bacteria
Description: partial 16S ribosomal RNA
Rfam family: Bacterial small subunit ribosomal RNA
Source: RNAcentral
UACAGAGGGGGCAAGCGUUGUUCGGAAUUACUGGGCGUAAAGAGCUCGUAGGCGGCUUGGCAAGUCGGGUGUGAAACCUCCAGGCCCAACCUGGAGACGCCACUCGAUACUGCCAUGGCUAGAGUCCGGUAGGGGACCACGGAAUUCCUGGUGUAGCGGUGAAAUGCGCAGAUAUCAGGAGGAACACCGGUGGCGAAGGCGGUGGUCUGGGCCGGCACUGACGCUGAGGAGCGAAAGCGUGGGUAGCAAACAGG